This is a non-coding RNA of Pelobates cultripes (western spadefoot toad), 242 nucleotides long. Lineage: Eukaryota; Metazoa; Chordata; Amphibia; Anura; Pelobatidae. The record is from the annotation of a GenBank genome assembly.
AAUGCCUCACUCACCCUCAUUUAUACUCUAGAAAUGUUUACGAAUCUGUAUAGGAACAAACUUCUCUGCCAUAAGCCACUGGUCAUUGAUUUAAUAUCUGCAAGUUUACUGCAAAUGUUUGCACAUUCCUUAUUUCCAAACAGUGAAGAACAUUUGAAUUGGAUAUAUCAUUCCUACAGUCAGGGAUGGGAAAGGGCUUUACCUCUAUUUCUACUUCACUAUUAGCAUUACAUUGGUAUUCC